RNAcentral lists this ribosomal RNA (1373 nucleotides) under uncultured bacterium. RNAcentral describes it as "bacterial SSU rRNA". It matches the Rfam family "Bacterial small subunit ribosomal RNA", at positions 28 to 1381 of the family's 1533-position model. The record is from RNAcentral.
GAUGAACGCUGGCGGCGUGCCUAAUACAUGCAAGUCGAGCGAACAGAUAAGGAGCUUACUCCUUUGAAGUUAGCGGCGGACGGGUGAGUAACACGUGGGUAACCUACCUAUAAGACUGGGAUAACCUCGGGAAACCGGAGCUAAUACCGGAUAACAUUUAGAACCGCAUGGUUCUAAAGUGAAAGAUGGUUUUGCUAUCACUUAUAGAUGGACCCGCGCCGUAUUAGCUAGUUGGUAAGGUAACGGCUUACCAAGGCGACGAUACGUAGCCGACCUGAGAGGGUGAUCGGCCACACUGGAACUGAGACACGGUCCAGACUCCUACGGGAGGCAGCAGUAGGGAAUCUUCCGCAAUGGGCGAAAGCCUGACGGAGCAACGCCGCGUGAGUGAUGAAGGGUUUCGGCUCGUAAAACUCUGUUAUUAGGGAAGAACAAAUGUGUAAGUAACUGUGCACAUCUUGACGGUACCUAAUCAGAAAGCCACGGCUAACUACGUGCCAGCAGCCGCGGUAAUACGUAGGUGGCAAGCGUUAUCCGGAAUUAUUGGGCGUAAAGCGCGCGUAGGGCGGUUUCUUAAGUCUGAUGUGAAAGCCCACGGCUCAACCGUGGAGGGUCAUUGGAAACUGGGAAACUUGAGUGCAGAAGAGGAAAGUGGAAUUCCAUGUGUAGCGGUGAAAUGCGCAGAGAUAUGGAGGAACACCAGUGGCGAAGGCGACUUUCUGGUCUGUAACUGACGCUGAUGUGCGAAAGCGUGGGGAUCAAACAGGAUUAGAUACCCUGGUAGUCCACGCCGUAAACGAUGAGUGCUAAGUGUUAGGGGGUUUCCGCCCCUUAGUGCUGCAGCUAACGCAUUAAGCACUCCGCCUGGGGAGUACGACCGCAAGGUUGAAACUCAAAGGAAUUGACGGGGACCCGCACAAGCGGUGGAGCAUGUGGUUUAAUUCGAAGCAACGCGAAGAACCUUACCAAAUCUUGACAUCCUUUGAAAACUCUAGAGAUAGAGCCUUCCCCUUCGGGGGACAAAGUGACAGGUGGUGCAUGGUUGUCGUCAGCUCGUGUCGUGAGAUGUUGGGUUAAGUCCCGCAACGAGCGCAACCCUUAAGCUUAGUUGCCAUCAUUAAGUUGGGCACUCUAGGUUGACUGCCGGUGACGAACCGGAGGAAGGUGGGGAUGACGUCAAAUCAUCAUGCCCCUUAUGAUUUGGGCUACACACGUGCUACAAUGGACAAUACAAAGGGCAGCUAAACCGCGAGGUCAUGCAAAUCCCAUAAAGUUGUUCUCAGUUCGGAUUGUAGUCUGCAACUCGACUACAUGAAGCUGGAAUCGCUAGUAAUCGUAGAUCAGCAUGCUACGGUGAAUACGUUCCCGGGUCU